This 217-nucleotide long non-coding RNA is filed under the name Sus scrofa (pig). Its description in RNAcentral is "lncRNA (ENSSSCG00005013912.1)". Lineage: Eukaryota; Metazoa; Chordata; Mammalia; Artiodactyla; Suidae. The record is from RNAcentral.
GGUACACGUCGGCACUCCCCAGCUAAUCUCUGAGAACUUUUAAUUCGGGGUUCUGGUGUACGUAAAGGUUAGUCCACGAGGUGCGCAGAAGGGACAAGGGCUACUAGGCCAGUCGCGCUCUCCGAGUUCUGGUGUCCUGUUUGCUCUGAGCUUUCCCUGGAGAACUUCAGAGACGUCAGGUGGUGACGGCGGAAGCACUGAAAAUGCGCAGCCUAGA